This 253-nucleotide ribosomal RNA is filed under the name uncultured bacterium. Its description in RNAcentral is "partial 16S ribosomal RNA". It matches the Rfam family "Bacterial small subunit ribosomal RNA", at positions 524 to 776 of the family's 1533-position model. The record is from RNAcentral.
UACGUAGGGUGCGAGCGUUGUCCGGAAUCAUUGGGCGUAAAGAGCGUGUAGGCGGCCCGGUAAGUCCGCUGUGAAAGUCCAGGGCUCAACCCUGGGAUGCCGGUGGAUACUGUCGGGCUCGAGUCCGGAAGAGGAGUGUGGAAUUCCUGGUGUAGCGGUGAAAUGCGCAGAUAUCAGGAGGAACACCAAUGGCGAAGGCAGCACUCUGGGACGUGACUGACGCUGAGACGCGAAAGCGUGGGGAGCGAACAGG